RNAcentral lists this transfer RNA (76 nucleotides) under Chitinophagaceae bacterium. RNAcentral describes it as "tRNA-Lys". It matches the Rfam family "tRNA". Rfam says of the family: Transfer RNA (tRNA) molecules are approximately 80 nucleotides in length. Their secondary structure includes four short double-helical elements and three loops (D, anti-codon, and T loops). Further hydrogen bonds mediate the characteristic L-shaped molecular structure. tRNAs have two regions of fundamental functional importance: the anti-codon, which is responsible for specific mRNA codon recognition, and the 3' end, to which the tRNAs corresponding amino acid is attached (by aminoacyl-tRNA synthetases). tRNAs cope with the degeneracy of the genetic code in two manners: having more than one tRNA (with a specific anti-codon) for a particular amino acid; and 'wobble' base-pairing, i.e. permitting non-standard base-pairing at the 3rd anti-codon position. The record is from RNAcentral. Lineage: Bacteria; Pseudomonadati; Bacteroidota; Chitinophagia; Chitinophagales; Chitinophagaceae.
UGGCUUGUAGCUCAAGAGGCGGAGUACGCGAUUCUUAAUCGUGGGGUUGUGGGUUCGAUUCCCACCAGGCCAACAA